CAGCCGCCGCGGUAAUACCGGCGGCCCGAGUGGCGGCCACUAUUAUUGGGCUUAAAGCGUCCGUAGCCGGGUUGGUUAGUCUCCCGGGAAAUCUGGCCGCUUAACGGUCAGAAUUCCGGGAGAUACUGCCAGCCUAGGGACCGGGAGAGGCCGAGGGUAUUCCCGGAGUAGGGGUGAAAUCCUAUAAUCCCGGGAGGACCACCUGUGGCGAAGGCGCUCGGCUGGAACGGGUCCGACGGUGAGGGACGAAGGCCAGGGGAGCAAACCGGACUAGAUACCCGGGUAGUCCUGGCGGUAAACGAUGCGGACUUUGUGUCGGACAAGCUAUGAGCUUGUCCGGUGCCGGAGGGAAACCGUUAAGUCCGCCGCCUGGGGAGUACGGCCGCAAGGCUGAAACUUAAAGGAAUUGGCGGG
This 414-nucleotide ribosomal RNA is filed under the name uncultured microorganism. RNAcentral describes it as "bacterial SSU rRNA". It matches the Rfam family "Archaeal small subunit ribosomal RNA", at positions 459 to 872 of the family's 1478-position model. The record is from RNAcentral.